UACGUAGGGUGCAAGCGUUAAUCGGAAUUACUGGGCGUAAAGCGUGCGCAGGCGGUUGUGCAAGACAGAUGUGAAAUCCCCGGGCUUAACCUGGGAAUGGCAUUUGUGACUGCACGGCUAGAGUGUGUCAGAGGGGGGUAGAAUUCCACGUGUAGCAGUGAAAUGCGUAGAUAUGUGGAGGAAUACCGAUGGCGAAGGCAGCCCCCUGGGAUAACACUGACGCUCAGGCACGAAAGCGUGGGGAGCAAACAGG
Molecule: ribosomal RNA, 253 nt
Filed under: uncultured bacterium
Lineage: Bacteria
Description: partial 16S ribosomal RNA
Rfam family: Bacterial small subunit ribosomal RNA
Source: RNAcentral